This 512-nucleotide ribosomal RNA is filed under the name bacterium PFCr-5. RNAcentral describes it as "bacterial SSU rRNA". It matches the Rfam family "Bacterial small subunit ribosomal RNA", at positions 8 to 524 of the family's 1533-position model. The record is from RNAcentral.
AGAGUUUGAUCCUGGCUCAGGACGAACGCUGGCGGCGUGCUUAACACAUGCAAGUCGAUGCAGUCGACGGUGAAGCCCAGCUUGCUGGGUGGAUCAGUGGCGAACGGGUGAGUAACACGUGAGUAACCUGCCCCUGACUCUGGGAUAAGCCUUGGAAACGAGGUCUAAUACCGGAUAUGUGACGUUCAGGCAUCUGAUGCGUCUGGAAAGAUUUAUCGGUCAGGGAUGGACUCGCGGCCUAUCAGCUUGUUGGUGGGGUAACGGCCUACCAAGGCGACGACGGGUAGCCGGCCUGAGAGGGCGACCGGCCACACUGGGACUGAGACACGGCCCAGACUCCUACGGGAGGCAGCAGUGGGGAAUAUUGCACAAUGGGCGCAAGCCUGAUGCAGCGACGCCGCGUGAGGGAUGAAGGCCUUCGGGUUGUAAACCUCUUUCAGCAGGGAAGAAGCGCAAGUGACGGUACCUGCAGAAGAAGCGCCGGCUAACUACGUGCCACCAGCCGCGGUAAU